Catharus ustulatus (Swainson's thrush) is the source of this 1807-nucleotide long non-coding RNA. RefSeq lists it as uncharacterized. The record is from RefSeq and is a predicted model, not a curated record. The transcript has 3 exons. Lineage: Eukaryota; Metazoa; Chordata; Aves; Passeriformes; Turdidae.
UCUUGGACAUAAAAUUUUAACAUUGACUUUCAUUACAGGACAAGUUUUUAUUCUUUAUUUCUGAAAGUAAUUUAAUCUUACUUGAAGAGUGCUUUUAUAGUGAGAAAAGGGUAAAAAGAUUUCUGCUUAAUGGCAGAUAGUGAUUUCCUCUCGGACAAAUUUCUAGCUUCCUUUGAUCCAGCCAAUCUUAGGAUAUUCUUAUAUUAAAAUGCAUUAACUUUUAUAUAUUUCAGUGCAACGUGUUCCAGUUUUAAGCUUUGUCCCAUGCAAAGCCUGCAGCUUAAACAGAAAACUCUCUCAAGUUGCCAGAAACUCCUUAACUGCACUAUGAAAACAAGAAUUUAAUUUGUUUUUAAACUCCUGAAGGACUGCCUGUUGUGUACAUUUGGAAUAACUAACUUCUGUUUCUCUGUAAGCUGGGAUUGACUGGAGUCUUUAGAUAAAAUUGUUUUGCCCAACUUCUGAGGUAAGUAUCCUGUAUCAACAAAUACCAUGCUCCAGGAAGAGUCACUGUAGAAAAGGUUCUCACUAUGGAGCCACUCUGCAGUAUCUAUAUUUAGUUAUAAAAGCUUGCUGCAAAUGAAUAGUGCUAUAGAAAUGUGAAAUAUAAAUAAUCAUCAUAAUUAAUGGGCUGUGUUCUUGCUGCAGCUCUCAGUUUAAAAGCUUAUCACAGCUUGGGUAUUUCUCUAUCCUACAUUUUCCUCUGUUAUUUCUUAACUGCUCUAGUAAAGUGAUCUGAGUUUGACUGUUCAGGACUGAGAUAUUUUCUCACCAAACAUAUUUAAAAGGAAAAAAAUCAAAACAUUUUGAUUAAAUCUAUUAUCAUUUUUUUAAGUCAUUUGCUUUAUGUGAACUGUUCCUUAGCCAUUUUCAAAAACCCUUUUUAUAUUGAGUACAGGAUUUCCCCCUCUCCCUCCCUUCUAAUAGAGAGGGAAACUGAGGUAGACUGAAGGGAGUAUCUACAAUUUUUGAGAGGCAGUACAAAUUUGGAAACAAAGUACAAAGAAGGUCCAAUUUUCAGAGCUUUUCGAACUUGUAGCAGUUAUUCAACUAUAUAGAAGUUUUUUAAUAUUAUGGACAACUUGAAUUAAUGUUCUUUCAAACCUGCUUAUCUGCCUGAGUAUGGACAAGAGCAGCCAUGAGUGGUUUAAUUCUGCUGAGCUGGAAUUCACGGCAUUGAAGGUACACUCAUCACAGCAGUCUGCACCCGUGUGCUCAGAGACAGGGAGCUGGGACAAUGACUUUGUCAGAUUGGCUGGAUCAGAUAUAUCACGGGUGGUGUCAAAACUUGGCACAAGUAGCUGAGAUUCUGAGAUUUCUAACCCUUUCUGAGUCCCUGAGAUUUCUUCUGCUGCUCCUUCAGUCCACUCAGGAGAUCCAAACUUCUACCAAGAUUUCAAACUGCAGGAAACCGUGGAAGAACAGAAUAAGAACAGGAGCCCCAUCCUGGAACUUUUAGUAACCAUACCCCAUCACAGUGAUGCCUUAAGUGUUUAGAUUUUGUAUUUAUUUUAUAUUUAUGUCUUCACACUUUGGUCAGACAAAACAAUCCAGGCCUGAGAUCCAAGGACACCCUCUGCCUCGGGCCCUGAAAAGUAUGAACAAAAGAGAAUUGGGGGGAAGCAAACUGGGGGCAUGUGACCUCAUCACCUGAAGCUGUAAUUGUGGGAUUAACCACUGAUGUACUAAUAGACCAAAUUUAUAUCUGUCUAAAAAUCUCAUGACCAUCAUCCAUCUUGGAUGUAGCCCCUUGGGGAGGCCUUGUCUGCCCUUAAUGUACCUGAAAGCCCUUCAUUAAAUAUAACUG